GCCUCUUCAUAAUUGAACUCCUGGAUUCGCCUAAGCACCUCGUUAUACACCUCUAGCUUUUGCAUAUGGUGUCGAGGAUUCGCCUGCGAGUACGACUCCCCUGCUCUACUUCCACAGCUCUCUACGUCCUCUUCAAUCGCCAUUAUUUGGAUAAAGAAACGACAACUCGCUCAAACCAGUAAAGCAAAAUAAAAUAAUAAUUAAAAUUGUAGUAAAAAUGAAUUAAGAGAGCUCAAUCAAAAAAAGGUGGAUCGCACAUGGCGGUGGCAGUUGCGGUGGUUGUUGUGGCGGUGGUGGAUGAAUUCGACAAAUAGAAGAGGGAAAGGGAGAGCUCAACAACAAAAGGCCGAAUGGUGAUGCUUUUUUUUUUUUUUUU
RNAcentral lists this unclassified non-coding RNA (376 nucleotides) under Hevea brasiliensis (rubber tree). The record is from RNAcentral. Lineage: Eukaryota; Viridiplantae; Streptophyta; Magnoliopsida; Malpighiales; Euphorbiaceae.